CCGGCCGCGGAGAGGGGAACUUGGGCGAGUUUCGUGCGCGAUCGCGGCUACCACAGCCCUGCAGGUGACCCUUCAGGAAGCCAGCUUAGUGGAGAGUGCCCUUGGACAACAAUGGUCUCUUCUGCUGUCUGCAAAAAGCAACCAUCUGAAGAGAUUUGUCAAAGUAACAGCAAUUGAGAUAACCUAGGUGAGGUAGACCCUUCUUCCCUUUUCUGUGAUUUGGCCCCUCGUGAAGCUGAACAAAGAAAUGGAAGAAAGGAUUCUGCACUGUCUCCCCCAACAGACUGAACCCCCCCCCCGCCACGUGGAAUGCGAAGGGAUUCGCAGUGGAAUGCGAAUUGCUUUGAUUGUUGGAGUCUGGAAUUCGUCAGAAUUGUCUGUCUUCCAGCAGCUCAGCCAGAGCGAGGAUUUUUAUGCUAGCUCAGCUGGAUAAGUGACCCGUUUUUUUUUAUACGGAUUAACAGGCAAACAUCCUCCUGUCUACAUUCAUCAUUUUCUUAUCUAUACAGCUAAAGAGAUUUGUCAAAGUAACAGCAAUUGAGAUAACCUAGGUGAGGUAAGACUUUCCUUUUUUUAUUCACGGAACUAAGGGGGAAGAAAAUAUAAAUAGCUUAUCUUUUUUUUAUUGCAAAAAGCUGACAUGGAAAAUAGCAUUUUAAAGAUUACAACGGACGAGAGAUUUCUGAUUGGGAGAGAUAAGAAAUCUUUUUGAUUUAUAAGACUUUUGUGUAAUAUAUGGCUGGGACUAUUUUUCCUGAUCUACUUUUUUUUUGACGAAUCUGCUCAUUCUCUCUGCUACUAGUUAUUUGGACGCUGUGAACUAAAGCCGUUCUUACACUUCCGGGCAGAUAAGAGAUAAGGGCUGUCUAGCGUGUGACCUUAGUUGGUUGGAAAGAUUAACUCCUUUGUAACUGGUUAAAGAAAUAAGCUGCUCUUUGUUUGGGACAUUGAAAAUUGAAGGAGUUUUGUUCCUUUGGCUUUAAGAAUGACAAUUAAGCAGAUCAUGGAUGUACAAGAAGGGACUUUAUCUCUAGACAUGUUUCAGAAAAUAAUGAAUGGGAUUAACUCAAUAAAACAAGAACUGAGAAAUAAUAGACAAGCGUGGAGAAUUGAAUUUCAUGAAAUGAGACAGGAGCUGAAAGAAACUCAGGAUUCUAUGAGAAAGGAGAAUAAAGAUAGAUCUGGAAAACAAAAAAAGGAUGAAAGAGAAAUUAAAGGCAAGGUUCAAACUAUGGAGAUUGGCUUAAUUAUGGACAUGAAAAAAGAUUUGGAUUUCCUGGCUGUGAUGGAUCCUGGAGACAAAUAUUACAGUUUGGAAUUCAGCGCUGUCCCUGAAGGAAUUGAAGAGAUUGGAGAUAAAGAUAUUAUCGGUUCAAAAAAAUUCCUGGACUGGAAGGAUUUGAUGGAACUUGAAAUGGAGAAAGUUAACAGAAUUAAUCCCUGUUUUGUGUCAAUGGAAAAACCUUCAAGAGAUGUACUAGUGUAUCAUGUGGAAAAGAGGAACAGAGAUGCGGCUUUGCAACAAUACUUCAGUGAUACGUUUGGAUUUGAUGGCAAGAAAAUAUCUGUGAUGGAGGAAAUUCCUAUCAGACUUUUAUUAUAUGACUAUGACAGCAAGAUUUUUGGGUGCGUAAAGAUGGAAGAUGGAAGAUGGACCCAAUAUGGAUAAUGACAGAAGAGCGAUUUAAAAUUACUGGACUUAGUAGAUUUGAAGAGUUGGAUUAAUUGAUAUGUUUAUUUAGUAAAAAAAAUGAUUGAUAUAUAUCUCAAGGAUUGGAAACUUCUCUUUGACUUUUUGUGGAAGAUUAAAAUGAUAGGAUGUUAAUGAGAUUUGAAACCAACUAAGAUAACCGCUGGAGGAAGGUGAUUUUAUAAUCUAUUAAGAGAUAGGUUUGUUAUAUAUUAUAGAUUUAUAGCUGAAUUAUAGCGAUUUGAAAUUACUGGACUUAGUAGAUUUGAAGAGUUGGAUUAAUUGAUAUGUUUAUUUAGAAAAAAAAUUGAUUGACAUGUAUCUCAAGGAUUGGAAACUUCUCUUUGACUUUUUGUGGAAGAUUAAAAUGAUAGGAUGUUAAUGAGGUUUGAAACCAACUAAGAUAACCGCUGGAGGAAGGUGAUUUUAUAAUCUAUUAAGAGAUAGGUUUGUUAUAUAUUAUAGAUUUAUAGCUGAACUAUGACAAAUC
RNA transcript from Rhineura floridana, 2180 nucleotides. It is a transcript of the gene named waprin-Phi1-like, with no coding region annotated. The transcript has 4 exons. NCBI's taxonomy places the organism in Eukaryota, Metazoa, Chordata, Lepidosauria, Squamata, Rhineuridae. The record is from RefSeq and is a predicted model, not a curated record.